UUAAGUAUCCCAAAAGACUUGAAGUUCGUUGUGACAAGGUGCUCUUUGUAAUAAAAUUUACUCCAAUAUUGUAUCGUACAAAGGAUAGAUACAUUUUCUGUGGUGCCACUUUACCUGCAGUGUUUAUGGUUCUGUUAUAACCCUUUCCAUGGUCUCAAAGUUCUAGUGCCUUCCAUUUACCCCUGGGUUUAUAGAAUCUCCAUCAUUUUCCUGUGGAGUAUUUCUGGAAYGCUUGUGAAGAGAGCUGGAAAAAGCAAAGUAUUCAGAGCAAUGGGCAGUAUCRGGUAGAGCAGAGCUCACCUGAGUGCACCAGCCAUUUCAGAUAACCUGGUGGAUGCUGCUGAAAUGGACACACGUGGUGCUGGGCACGUGCAGGUGUGAUGGGCACCUUCCCACCCGUGAGCACUGGCCAUGCUGGGAUCUCCAGGCUGCAGGUGUGAGCUCCUUUAUUCAGAGACUCUUAAGAAGUCCUGCAGUUACGGAUGCCACACGCACCAAGUUGCAACCUUGGAGRCCCACUGCUCGCCAGCAGGCUGAUGACAGACGAGAGCAAUGCUGCUCACCCACCACAGCUUUCUGCCUGACCCGGCCCCCGAGGAUUUUUGGCAUACUGAUCUUGACCUCUCUUUCCUGUCCUCUCAGCUGUUACUUCACAGUGCCCUUGGGCUAGCUGAAUUUAUCCUUGCUGAUGGCAUUUUAGUUCCCUGCCCUGGUGGUGAUGUUGAGYGUGGGCUUUUAGUCUUGGGGUAGAUCUUGGAACUGCAAAUCAAAAUUGCACAUCCCUGCUUCUAUUAGCAGCUUUGCCGAGGUCCAGAAGUUGCUGGAAGCSUGUUAUUCUCCACCAUUUACUGGCUGUGAACUAUGUAGAUACUCAUAUUUUUAAUUUCCUUUCAUUUAGUGGUGUGUGCAGGACCUCAGUUAUGACCAGCAGGGAACACUCUUCUGGUACAGAGCGGCAAUUCAAUGUCUGUGCCAACCCUGGCUUGUAAAAAGCCUGGCAGCGCUUGACAAACAAAGCCUAGAAAUGUUGCUAUUAAAAGCAUUUAUUGAAUAAAUCCAUAUGUGACAAAAUGAUAGCU
This is a long non-coding RNA of Nothoprocta perdicaria, 1079 nucleotides long. RefSeq lists it as uncharacterized. The transcript has 4 exons. NCBI's taxonomy places the organism in Eukaryota, Metazoa, Chordata, Aves, Tinamiformes, Tinamidae. The record is from RefSeq and is a predicted model, not a curated record.